AAGGCCUGUCAGGGGGAGGGCUCCACUUCUCAGCCCAUCUGCAGUAGGUCCACAUUCGGGGCGGUGAGGAGGGUGCCCUAGCUCCCAUAGUAACCCCAGAAUUAGUCUCCUUAAAGGCUGGGGAUCAUGGCUUGUUCAAUAGUUUUUCUUCAGGUUCGGGCAUAUAGAAGGGGCUCAAUAAAUAGUCACAGAAUCAAUAACUAUUACAAAAGCCCCAUUGAUGGAAUGCUCGCUCCGUACCAAGGCUGAGAAGGGUGAUCUGUCACCCAAAGUAGGACCCCUUUGUUGCUCCCUGAACCAACAACCCAGAAGAGCCUGCCAGUUUUGUAGUUUUGUUUUUCCUUUUCUUGCUAUUUGGCCAGGAGCAGCAGUAGCAGCAGCUCCAAGAAGAGCACUGGCUCCUUCUUAGUCCCAUGGAAGCACAGAUCAACAUCAUUGCCCUUGCAAACUUCUCUCAGCUUAGGAGAGUCUACUCGCUCUUUGCACAUUGUUGACAUGAAAUGAAUAUUAAACACCAAACCUCAUAGAGGCCAGCCCUGCUGGGCGAGCAAUGAAC
Molecule: long non-coding RNA, 556 nt
Filed under: Homo sapiens (human)
Lineage: Eukaryota; Metazoa; Chordata; Mammalia; Primates; Hominidae
Description: HSALNT0239091
Source: RNAcentral